Small nucleolar RNA from Arachis stenosperma, 151 nucleotides. RefSeq annotates it as small nucleolar RNA snoR137. The transcript has a single exon. The record is from RefSeq and is a predicted model, not a curated record. NCBI's taxonomy places the organism in Eukaryota, Viridiplantae, Streptophyta, Magnoliopsida, Fabales, Fabaceae.
GUUGCUUCUUCUGGUAAAUUUUUUUUUAUAUUGAAGUUGGGGAUGUUCAUGUUUUCGAAGUCUAUAUCAAAUUUUCUUAAUUAAACAGUUUUAAACAGCGUGCUGUAAUAUUUUUUGAGUUACAUUAUGCUACCUGUCUACUGGUACAAUC